RNAcentral lists this unclassified non-coding RNA (387 nucleotides) under soil metagenome. Its description in RNAcentral is "partial contains 5.8S ribosomal RNA, internal transcribed spacer 2, and large subunit ribosomal RNA". The stretch from base 1 to 120 matches the Rfam family "5.8S ribosomal RNA", at positions 35 to 154 of the family's 154-position model. The record is from RNAcentral.
GAUGGAGAACGCAGCGAAAUGCGAUAAGUAAUGUGAAUUGCAGAAUUCAGUGAAUCAUCGAAUCUUUGAACGCACCUUGCGCUCCUUGGUAUUCCGAGGAGCAUGCCUGUUUGAGUGUCAUGAAAUUCUCAACCUUUUCAGCUUUCUUUGUUGAUCAGGCUUGGAUGUGGGAGUAUGCGGGCUUCUCAGAAGUCGACUCUCCUGAAAUGCAUUAGCGGGACCUUUGUUGCCUGGCUUUGGUGUGAUAAUUAUCUACGCCAUUGUAGUCAAGCAGCUUAAAAUGAGGUUUCAGCUUCUAACCGUCUCCCCUGAGACAACUUUUUGACAAUUUGACCUCAAAUCAGGUAGGACUACCCGCUGAACUUAAGCAUAUCAAUAAGCGGAGGA